RNAcentral lists this ribosomal RNA (1477 nucleotides) under uncultured bacterium. Its description in RNAcentral is "16S ribosomal RNA". It matches the Rfam family "Bacterial small subunit ribosomal RNA". The record is from RNAcentral.
GUUUGAUCCUGGCUCAGGACGAACGCUGGCGGCGUGCCUAAUGAAUGCGAGUCGAGCGAGAACCGGUCGGUUUCUUCGGAAAGCGGCCGGGGAAAGCGGCGAACGGGUGAGUAACACGUGGGUAACGUGCCCUGCAGACGGGGAUAACAGCGGGAAACUGCUGCUAAUACCCGAUAUAAUAGCGCAUGGCAUCAUGCGACUAUGAAAGCUCCGGCGCUGCAGGAUCGGCCCGCGGCCSAUUAGCUUGUUGGUGAGGUAACGGCUCACCAAGGCGACGAUCGGUAGCUGGUCUGAGAGGAUGGUCGGCCACACUGGGACUGAGACAUGGUCCAGACUCCUACGGGAGUUAGCAUCAGGGAAUCUUGCGCAAUGGGCGAAAGCUGNACGCAGCGACGCCGCGUGGGGGACGAAGGUCUGCGGAUCGUAAACCCCUGUCAGGAGGGACGAAGUUCUGACGGUACCUCCAGAGGAAGCCACGGCUAAUUACGUGCCAGCAGCCGCGGUAAGUCGUAAGUGGCGAGCGUUGUCCGGAAUCACUGGGCGUAAAGAGCACGUAGGCGGUUUSGUAAGCGGCGGGUGCAAUCCCAGGGCUCAACCCUGGAACUGCUCCCCGAACUGCCAGACUARAGUGCNGGAGAGGGSAGUGRAAUUCCUGGUGUAGSGGUGGAAUGCGUAUAUAUCAGGAGGAACACCGGUGGCGAAGCUGCUCCCUGGAACGCAACUGACGCUGAGGUGCGAAAGCUAGGGGAGCGAACGGGAUUAGAUACCCCGGUAGUCCUAGCCGUAAACGAUGGACACUAGGUGUUGGAGGCAUCAASSCCUCCAGUGCUGUUAUCUAACGCGUUAAGUGUCCCGCCUGGGGAGUACGGKCGCAAGGCUGAAACUCAAAGGRAUUGACGGGGGCCCGCACAAGCGGUGGAGCAUGUGGGKCAAUGGGAUGAUACGCCAAGAACCUUACCAGGGCUUGACAUCAUAGGGACAGCCUACGAAAGUAGGUCUCCCGGGCAACSGGGCCCUAUGACAGGUGGUGCAUGGUUGUCGUSAGCUCGUGUCGUGAGAUGUUGGGUUAAGUCCCGCAACGAGCGCAACCCUCACCGGAUGUUGCCAGCGUAAAGUCGGGCACUCUUCCGGGACUGCCUGAGUAAUCAGGAGGAAGGAGAGGAUGACGUCAAAUCUGCAUGCCCGCUUACGCCCUGGGCUGCACACGUGCUACAAUGGCGGGUACAAAGGGUUGCCAAACCGCGAGGUGGAGCCAAUCCCCCAAAGCCCGCCCCAGUUCGGAUCGGAGUCUGCAACUCGACUCCGUGAAGCCGGAAUCGCUAGUAACCGUGGAUCAGCAAUGCCACGGUGAAUACGUUCCCGGGCCUUGUACACACCGCCCGUCAAGUCACGAAAGCUGGCAGCACCCGAAGUCUAUCCUCAGAGAUGGCCGAAGGUGAGGCUAGUGAUUGGGACUAAGUGCGUAACAAGGUAGCCG